RNAcentral lists this ribosomal RNA (490 nucleotides) under uncultured bacterium. RNAcentral's name for it is "partial 16S ribosomal RNA". It matches the Rfam family "Bacterial small subunit ribosomal RNA", at positions 29 to 507 of the family's 1533-position model. The record is from RNAcentral.
AGUGAACGCUGGCGGCAGGCCUAACACAUGCAAGUCGGACGGCAGCACAAGAGAGCUUGCUCUCUGGGUGGCGAGUGGCGGACGGGUGAGGAAUGCAUCGGAAUCUGCCCAUUUGUGGGGGAUAACCUCGGGAAACCGGGACUAAUACCGCAUACGACCUACGGGUGAAAGCAGGGGAUCUUCGGACCUUGCGCAGAUGGAUGAGCCGAUGCCGGAUUAGCUAGUUGGAGGGGUAAAGGCCCACCAAGGCGACGAUCCGUAGCUGGUCUGAGAGGAUGAUCAGCCACACUGGGACUGAGACACGGCCCAGACUCCUACGGGAGGCAGCAGUGGGGAAUAUUGGACAAUGGGCGCAAGCCUGAUCCAGCCAUGCCGCGUGUGUGAAGAAGGCCUUCGGGUUGUAAAGCACUUUUGUUGGGAAAGAAAAGCAGCCGGUUAAUACCCGGUUGUCAUGACGGUACCCAAAGAAUAAGCACCGGCUAACUUCGUG